CCUACGGGAGGUAGCAGUGGGGAAUCUUGCGCAAUGGACGAAAGUCUGACGCAGCGACGCCGCGUGAGGGAUGAAGGGCUUCGGAUCGUAAACCUCUGUCAGCAGGGAAGAACGGUCACUGUGCUAAUCAGCAGUGAUUUGACGGUAACUGAGGAGUAAGCCACGGCUAACUACGUGCCGGCAGCCGCGGUAAUACGUAGGUGGCAAGCGUUAUCCGGAUUUAUUGGGGGUAAAGGGCGUGUAGGCGGGAAAGCAAGUCAGAUGUGAAAACCAUGGGCUCAAACUGUGGCCUGCAUUUGAAGUGGUUUUGCGUGAGUACUGGAGAGGCAGACGGAAUUCCGAGUGUAGCGGUG
RNAcentral lists this ribosomal RNA (353 nucleotides) under uncultured bacterium. RNAcentral's name for it is "partial 16S ribosomal RNA". It matches the Rfam family "Bacterial small subunit ribosomal RNA", at positions 338 to 683 of the family's 1533-position model. The record is from RNAcentral.